RNAcentral lists this long non-coding RNA (296 nucleotides) under Brassica napus (rape). Its description in RNAcentral is "long non-coding RNA (BNAP_LNC007602)". The record is from RNAcentral. Lineage: Eukaryota; Viridiplantae; Streptophyta; Magnoliopsida; Brassicales; Brassicaceae.
AACAUUGGAUAUCAAAGUGUUUUAUGAAAUAACAAAUUCAAUAACAUUAGAUUUUAAAUAAGUUUUAACAUUCAAGUUUGAAUAACAGUAAAUUUAUUGUUUUAAUACAAAUCAACUCAAUUCUUAGUUAAAUACACCUCCUCUGAACACAGCUAAAUGUAAAUGGCUAUGCCUUUCAUUUACAAAUACGACUCACAUUACGUGCAUGUCAAUGUCUUCAUAUCCGGCAUGGACACAUUGUUGAAUUGGUAAAUAGAGUGAUCCGUCAUAUAAUUCGAUUCAGAUUUAAGCAAAAA